Molecule: transfer RNA, 72 nt
Filed under: Phrynosoma platyrhinos (Desert horned lizard)
Lineage: Eukaryota; Metazoa; Chordata; Lepidosauria; Squamata; Phrynosomatidae
Description: tRNA-OTHER
Source: RNAcentral
GACAGCAUGACAUAGUGGUUUGAGUGUUGGAUUACAACUAUGGAGACCAGGGUUCGAUUCCCCGCUCAGCCA